Molecule: ribosomal RNA, 405 nt
Filed under: uncultured bacterium
Lineage: Bacteria
Description: partial 16S ribosomal RNA
Rfam family: Bacterial small subunit ribosomal RNA
Source: RNAcentral
AUUGAACGCUAGCGGGAUGCUUUACACAUGCAAGUCGAACGAGUGGCGGACGGGUGAGUAAUGUAUCGGAACGUGCCCAGUAGCGGGGGAUAACUACUCGAAAGGGGGGCUAAUACCGCAUACGAUUGGAGCGGCCGAUAUGGGAUUAGCUAGUUGGGGGGGUAAAGGCUCACCAAGGCAACGAUCCGUAGAGGGUUUGAGAGGAAGACCAGCCAAACGGGAACGGAGGCACGGACCAGACUCCUAAGUGAGGCAGCAGUGGGGAAUUUUGGACAAUUGGGGAAACCCUGAUCCAGCCAUCCAGCGUGGAUGAGAAGGCCUGCGGGUUGUAAAGUUCUUUUGGCAGAGAAGCGGUAUCUGCAGAAUAAGCACCGGCUAACUACGUGCCAGCAGCCGCGGUAAUUC